GGGGGGGGGGGGAGGUAAGUAAAGCGAUCGCAGCGCAUAAGGUGGUAAAAAUAGGCACUAACAGAAGUUAGCUGUCAUAACAUUUCAUACCAGUUAUAUGGCUCGAAAUGGAACUUUAAUUUACGAUUACUCCUGAUAUAUUCAUUUAAAUUGUAUGGUGUAAGGAACCAUUAUAAUCUGUAUGAAAUGCUUAUUAAUAUAACGAACGUAUUUCAUUUAAUAAUUAUUUAUACUGUAUGCGUGUAAAUAGCUUUGCAAAUGCCACAUAUACUGUGAUAUUUGUCUAGAAGUUAAAAAUGGGUAUAGUAAAUUAUCCUUAAAAGAUAGACAUACACCAUCGUGGACUUUUUUGUAGACCCAUGAAAGAGAGACAACCCCACCAUACAUUGUGUUGUUAUAGCUCAAACGUAUUAGUUGGUAUUAGGUGGCGUUUUCGAUUAAAGCUCCUAGCCAGCGUGAUUUUUUCCAACAACAUCGUCAUAUUUCAACCAAUUUAAACGAAACCUUAACAAGUUAUAUACCUAAACCUUCCUCAAGAAUCACUAUUGAUAAAUGAAAAUCAUGUGAAAAUCCGUUCAGUAGUUCUUGAGUUUUGGAGUAGUUUUAUAAGAUGUAGUGAAUUGACGUUUUCCCCUAGAUUUACGGAUGCUAGGUCGCGUGACAGUCGUGCACGUAACGA
Cydia splendana is the source of this 679-nucleotide long non-coding RNA. RefSeq lists it as uncharacterized. The record is from RefSeq and is a predicted model, not a curated record. NCBI's taxonomy places the organism in Eukaryota, Metazoa, Arthropoda, Insecta, Lepidoptera, Tortricidae. The transcript has 3 exons.